This 2880-nucleotide non-coding RNA is filed under the name Pan troglodytes (chimpanzee). The record is from RNAcentral. Lineage: Eukaryota; Metazoa; Chordata; Mammalia; Primates; Hominidae.
GCUCUGCCCAGUGGCCUGGCGCAGGAAAGGUGACCCAGUAGUUCAGCCUGUCCCAGCUGCCUGCCCCAGCACCAUCCCAGACCCCUUUCCCUGGGGCCCACCUUGGCCCUGAGGAAGGCCAGAGCUCGGCUGCUGUUCUCCAGGAAGUGCACACGCAGGCGGCCCCGGCUGGGGGGUGGCAGGGCCUCCCCUGAGAUGAGCUCCAGCAGCCGCAGGAGGUGGAUGCCGUCAGCCAGCUCUGUGUACAGGUUCCGGAUCUUGAUGCCCGCCUGGGGAGGGGACAGGGGUAGGUAUGGGGUCAGCCCAGCCUCACCUGUCCUCCCAUCCUGGGACCUGAGAGGUACGACCCAGAGCAGCUGCUUUGGAAGAAGGAGCUCUGGCCUCAGCUUGGCCUCAGGCAGAUGACCCCACAGCUCACCCCGGAGGCCCACUGGCCAGAGCUGGGGGCGUGGUAUGGGUGGGCUGUGGGUCACAGCUGGCUAUACUCACCUGGCCGCACUGGAAGACAUUAUUGAUCCACUUGGUGAAAGUCUUCUCCUGCAUCUGCAUGUGCCGGGCCUGUAGCUUGCGAAUGUGGCCCGUCUCGUACUGAGAGUCCAUGGUGAGACUUGGACUGGGUGGGACCCGGAGUUCUGUGCUGGGCCUCCUGCUGCGGUGCCCUGCAGCCCCCAGGAGCUCCCGGGGGCUGUGGGGCUGACCAGCCAUCAGCCCUGCAGACUUUGGGGAUGAGGAGCUGCUGGAUGGCUCCCUAAACCUGGAGGGCAUGCAGAUUAGGGGAUGAUGUGAAUGGAGAUGGCCCCUCUGCCAGGGGCCUGGGGUCCCGCCUUGCCAGACUGUCCUCACAUUUCAUGGGGGUUGCAGCUUGGAGCCCAGCCAGGUAAGGGCCAGUGCUUCUGGUCCCCUGUGCUUGAAUGGCCCAGGGCCCCCUUUGCCCCACCCCACCUUCCAGAUUCUUCUUCUCAGAGCCCCUGCUGCCAGGUCCCUCCACCACAGUGACUGGGACAGGUGGAAGGAAGAAAGGAAACUGCUUACCUUGGUGAUGUCUGGGUCCCACAGAGGCGGCCCAGCUGGAUGGAUGGAGAUGGCAGAUAGCAGGGGCUGUGCAGGGAGGGAGAGGGACAUCAGAAGAGGCCAAGGCUGGAGCAGGGCUGCACCACAGCCCUCCCCUUGAGCCAGCGUGCUGGGGUGACGGCACACAGGCGGCAUUGUCCUCCCACCUGCCACAGGGCGUGGCCCAGACAGGGAGGGGGUGGUUCAGGAAUGCUCCAGGGCCAUUGCCAGAUGAUCUCCUCCUUCAUCAUCCUCCCUUCCCCGCCAGCAACUUCCCCAACUCCAGGUGGGGGUCCUGGCUCCCAGGACGCAGAGGCCCGUGGAGCGGCCCUGCCACCGCAUGGGGUGCUGCAGUCUGCGUAGGAGGCACCAAAGGGCAGAGCCUCUGUGGGAAGCCUGUGGACGCACUUCCCAAUCUGAGACUGCCCUCUGUACCCUCGUGGGUCCUCUCUGUGAGCACCCAGGGCGAGGGGAUGAGGGAGCGUCCUAGGCCGUGGUCUUCUCAUUCACCCACAGGGAACAGCCCAUAGACUGAGGGCCUCACAGACCCUGGGCUUGGCUUUCCAGGCCCUGCCAGAGUGCAGCCUGCCUAGCCCGGGGCUGAAGGGUGGGCUCCCUGGAGGAAGGGGCGACCUGGAACUGCGAGGGCUGUGGAGUCUCCUCCAAAAUUAGAGACACGGUGUUAACUCUGGGCUCCACAGAGCUGGCGGUGGCCCGGGGCUCAGAGGCAGGGGUGCAGAGGGAGCUGGUGGGCGCCUAUCCCUUCCUCCCUGAGCAGCCGUGGACUACAUGCCAGAGUGAAGGCGAGUUCUAAUUCUGGGGGUCUCACCCGCCUCUGGCUAAACUCAGGGUAGCAGUGUGGGCUGGGGUGUGUGUGUGUGGGUGUCUUCCAGCAGCCCUGGAGCCUCUGAAGCGACAGCCCGCUCCUCAGGGAGGCGCUCCUGGCAGCCACAGCCCACAGCAGGACAGCCGCUCAGCGCGCCCUUGAGAGCUGGGCUAGGGAUGAGUCACACUUGAACCGCCUGGGCCCACUGCAGGCAGUCAGGGGUGACGCUGAGAGGUGCCGUGGUCUCGGGUGGGGUGCGGCUUCCUGCGUCUGAGAGACGCUUCCUCUCCUGCUGUCCUCUCCCUGCCAGGCCCCUUCUGCACCGGCUGGCUUCCAGACAACCUGCAUUCCUCCCUUGCUUGCAGCAGUUGCUGUGGCGGUCCUCCCGUGCACCCCCCCUUCUGCCCUCACUGCCCCUGGGGGUCCUCAUCACGGACCCCCUAACUCGGCAUCCUGGGCACCACCACCCCGCACCUUUCCACAGUGCAGCUCUGCUCACGCCUGUGAAGCCUCCCACAGCCUGGGAAGGAAAACCCAGACUUGCCAGACCUUGCCUCCGCCAGGCCUUUGAAGCCCGCCAGCUUACCUAACCAGUAAGACCCUCAGCCCAUGGAGUCCUGUGUGAUGUUGUGAGCGUGGGAGGACAGACUGAACUGCUCGGCCCGUGGAGUCCUGUGUGAUGUUGUGAGCGGGGAGGACAGACUGAACUGCUCGGCCCGUGGAGUCCUGUGUGAUGUUGUGAGCGGGGAGGACAGACUGAACUGCGUGGUGCUUCGCACAUAGACCUCAACAGGGAUUGGCAUUUUGAAGCUGUUGGCGGGGGCUGUGGACUGCUUUUCUUCCUUUCUAGCUCAACGGCAGCUAAAGCCACUGCAUACAAUGCAAGGACUGGCUCCUGUUUGGCCGCGACUGAUUGCAGCCCCUGGUGAAAUGAGAACCCUGUGGGUCGGAACAAAGUUUGGAUUAUUUAUGUUGCAAGUAACUAAAAUCUCAAGUGAAACUGG